This 122-nucleotide ribosomal RNA is filed under the name Olavius algarvensis Gamma 3 endosymbiont. Lineage: Bacteria; Pseudomonadati; Pseudomonadota; Gammaproteobacteria. The record is from RNAcentral. RNAcentral also lists the same sequence under 1 other name.
UUGCUUGGCAACCAUAGCGUUCUGGACCCACCUGAUCCCAUCCCGAACUCAGAAGUGAAACGGAACUGCGCCGAUGAUAGUGUGGGGUCUCCCCAUGUGAAAGUAGGUCAUUGCCAGGCAUU